CCGCGGUAUUUUGACUGUGCUAAGGUAGCAUAAUCAUUAGUUUUUUAAUUAAAAGCUAGAAUGAAGGGUUGAAUGAAAAAUUAACUGUCUCUAAUUAAUUUUAUUAAAAUUUUAUUUUUAAGUUAAAAAGCUUAAAUGUUUUUAAAAGACGAGAAGACCCUAUAGAGUUUAAUAUAUUGAAUAUUUUUAAAUAUUUAGAAUUUAUUUUUUAUAAUAAAAAUAUAUUUAAUUGGGGUGAUUAAAAAAUUUAAUUAACUUUUUUUUAUAUAAUUAUAUUAAUUAAUAAAUUUAUGAACCAAUAAUUUUGAUUAAAAGAUAAAUUACCUUAGGGAUAACAGCGUAAUUUUAUUUAAGAGUU
RNAcentral lists this ribosomal RNA (358 nucleotides) under Longitarsus plantagomarittimus. RNAcentral describes it as "partial 16S ribosomal RNA". The record is from RNAcentral. Lineage: Eukaryota; Metazoa; Arthropoda; Insecta; Coleoptera; Chrysomelidae.